This 468-nucleotide ribosomal RNA is filed under the name uncultured bacterium. RNAcentral's name for it is "partial 16S ribosomal RNA". It matches the Rfam family "Bacterial small subunit ribosomal RNA", at positions 28 to 507 of the family's 1533-position model. The record is from RNAcentral.
GACGAACGCUGGCGGCGUGCUUAACACAUGCAAGUCGAACGGAAAGGCCCUGCUUUUGUGGGGUGCUCGAGUGGCGAACGGGUGAGUAGCACGUGAGUAACCUGCCCUUGACUUUGGGAUAACUUCAGGAAACUGGGGCUAAUACCGGAUAGGAGCCCCUGCUGCAUGGUGGGGGUUGGAAAGUUUCGGCGGUUGGGGAUGGACUCGCGGCUUAUCAGCUUGUUGGUGGGGUAGUGGCUUACCAAGGCUUUGACGGGUAGCCGGCCUGAGAGGGUGACCGGCCACAUUGGGACUGAGAUACGGCCCAGACUCCUACGGGAGGCAGCAGUGGGGAAUAUUGCACAAUGGGCGGAAGCCUGAUGCAGCAACGCCGCGUGCGGGAUGACGGCCUUCGGGUUGUAAACCGCUUUCGCCUGUGACGAAGCGUGAGUGACGGUAAUGGGUAAAGAAGCACCGGCUAACUACGUG